This 73-nucleotide transfer RNA is filed under the name Myotis brandtii (Brandt's bat). It matches the Rfam family "tRNA". Rfam says of the family: Transfer RNA (tRNA) molecules are approximately 80 nucleotides in length. Their secondary structure includes four short double-helical elements and three loops (D, anti-codon, and T loops). Further hydrogen bonds mediate the characteristic L-shaped molecular structure. tRNAs have two regions of fundamental functional importance: the anti-codon, which is responsible for specific mRNA codon recognition, and the 3' end, to which the tRNAs corresponding amino acid is attached (by aminoacyl-tRNA synthetases). tRNAs cope with the degeneracy of the genetic code in two manners: having more than one tRNA (with a specific anti-codon) for a particular amino acid; and 'wobble' base-pairing, i.e. permitting non-standard base-pairing at the 3rd anti-codon position. Lineage: Eukaryota; Metazoa; Chordata; Mammalia; Chiroptera; Vespertilionidae. The record is from Rfam by way of RNAcentral.
GCCAGCGUGGCUCAAUGGAUAGAGCAUUGGCCUUCAGACUGAAGGAUCGCAGGUUCGAUUCCGCUCACAGGCA